AUUUGAAAGUAAUUGAAAGCAGAUGUUUACUAGCUGGCUUUAGAUUUGUAAUAUGCCAACUCCAAAAACUGACUAACCCAUAAAAACUAAAGUGAAGUGCAAAUGCAUGUUUAGAGAUAGGCUAAGUGAGUGAAUUUGAAUAUUGUCAGUUAAUUUAUAACGACUAUUAUGAUAUUAACUGAAUAAUAUUAGGUACUCUACAAACAAGUUACUUUAAUGAAAUUGGCAGUGUUUACCUUAGUAGCUGGGAUUCUAACAGCUUAUCUUUGGGUUCAUAUAUUUGCUACAAUGGCAGCUACUGUUUUUAAACCAGGAUUAUUUUCUGUGGUUUAUAUCACAGCACCCACUCAAGAAGUAGCUAAAAAAAUUGCACGGGGAUUGGUGGAAAACCAGUUAGCAGCAUGUGUAAACAUCGUUCCGGGCAUCACAUCCAUAUACAAGUGGGAAGGAAAAAUUGAAGAGGACUCAGAAUUACUUCUGAUGGUAAAAACGAGAACACAGAAGAUUGUUGAACUGACAACAUAUGUGAAGGCCAAUCAUCCUUAUUCAGUGCCUGAAGUCAUAUCUACUCCUAUUGAAUCAGGACAUGACUUGUACUUGAAAUUUCUGAACGACUCUAUUCCAGAAAAUAGUUGAAGACCCACUGAAAAAUUCUUCUCAUGCAAUAACCAACAUGGUGUAUUGUGUAGUCAUUGCCCUAUACAAUAAUUCCAUAAGACAAGAAACUAUGAAGGUAUGCAUAGUAGACAGUAAUGAGGAUGUUUGUAUUUACAAUAUAUCUUAGCCUAAUUAAUAAAAAAAUACCCUUAGACACCUUA
This 818-nucleotide unclassified non-coding RNA is filed under the name Homalodisca vitripennis (glassy-winged sharpshooter). RNAcentral describes it as "protein CutA homolog, transcript variant X4". Lineage: Eukaryota; Metazoa; Arthropoda; Insecta; Hemiptera; Cicadellidae. The record is from RNAcentral.